GAUGAACGCUGGCGGCGUGCCUAAUACAUGCAAGUCGAGCGAACAGACGAGGAGCUUGCUCCUUCGACGUUAGCGGCGGACGGGUGAGUAACACGUAGGUAACCUACCUAUAAGACUGGGAUAACUUCGGGAAACCGGAGCUAAUACCGGAUAAUAUUUCGAACCGCAUGGUUCGAUAGUGAAAGAUGGCUUUGCUAUCACUUAUAGAUGGACCUGCGCCGUAUUAGCUAGUUGGUAAGGUAACGGCUUACCAAGGCAACGAUACGUAGCCGACCUGAGAGGGUGAUCGGCCACACUGGAACUGAGACACGGUCCAGACUCCUACGGGAGGCAGCAGUAGGGAAUCUUCCGCAAUGGGCGAAAGCCUGACGGAGCAACGCCGCGUGAGUGAUGAAGGUCUUCGGAUCGUAAAACUCUGUUAUUAGGGAAGAACAAACGUGUAAGUAACUGUGCACGUCUUGGCGGUACCUAAUCAGAAAGCCACGGCUAACUACGUG
Molecule: ribosomal RNA, 497 nt
Filed under: uncultured bacterium
Lineage: Bacteria
Description: partial 16S ribosomal RNA
Rfam family: Bacterial small subunit ribosomal RNA
Source: RNAcentral